UGGGGAAUAUUGCACAAUGGGCGGAAGCCUGAUGCAGCAACGCCGCGUGAGUGAUGAAGGCCUUCGGGUUGUAAAGCUCUGUCUUUUGGGACGAUAAUGACGGUACCAAAGGAGGAAGCCACGGCUAACUACGUGCCAGCAGCCGCGGUAAUACGUAGGUGGCAAGCGUUGUCCGGAUUUACUGGGCGUAAAGGAUGCGUAGGCGGAUUUUUAAGUGGGAUGUGAAAUACCCGGGCUUAACUUGGGUGCUGCAUUUCAAACUGGGAAUCUAGAGUGCGGGAGAGGAGAAUGGAAUUCCUAGUGUAGCGGUGAAAUGCGUAGAGAUUAGGAAGAACACCAGUGGCGAAGGCGACUCUCUGGACCGUAACUGACGCUGAGGCAUGAAAGCGUGGGUAGCAAACAGGAUUAGAUACCCUGGUAGUCCACGCCGUAAACGAUGAGUACUAGGUGUAGGAGGUAUCGACCCCUUCUGUGCCGCAGUUAACACAAUAAGUACUCCGCCUGGGAAGUACGAUCGCAAGAUUAAAACUCAAAUGAAUUGAC
RNAcentral lists this ribosomal RNA (543 nucleotides) under uncultured bacterium. Its description in RNAcentral is "partial 16S ribosomal RNA". It matches the Rfam family "Bacterial small subunit ribosomal RNA", at positions 355 to 914 of the family's 1533-position model. The record is from RNAcentral.